CUUGUUUAGGCAUUAAUCUUUGCUUGGAAUGAUCUGGAGCGGCCUGCUUUUCAGCGGGACGAAGGAGAAUCGCUUGCCAUUAGAUACAAAUUUGAUCGAAGAUUCUGUGCUUUUGCCGCCACAGGAAGCCAGCUCGCUUGUCAAUAUAGCAAAUCUAGACGAAGUCCAAUUAAUAUUGGUUACCUUUUUGACUCAAAUACAAGAUGGUGUUGUGUGUCAGGAGUCGACACCAGAGAAGGAAGCCGACGAUGCUGGGAACAUCAAGUAUCAAAGAAGAGUUUAGUGAUGGAACUUCUAGAUCUAUACCUCGAUAUAAAAGACCAGCUCACAAGCGAGCCGAGUUGAAGAGAUGUGUCAAAAUCAAGGUAGAAGCAAUUAUAUUAGGCCUUCUCCUAUGUGUCUUUGAUACCUCACGUCUUUGAUCAUGGGCAUAUGGGGCCAAUAUCAGUUUGAAGGGGCGGGGGGCACUCGGCAAACCUCGGAAGAGUCCGUUACUCUACAUCAGCCUAGGACGGUAAGUGAUCACACUGAUCCGCAGUGAAUAUUUGCUUGGCCGCGACAAUCACUGAUAAGGAUGACAUUGAUGCGGCUUAAUGAGCUAGAAAUAUUAACUUUUUUCCUGCGACAAAUUAAAUUCUAAAACAUUUUUUGUAUAUAUUGGAAAAAUAAAUAAAGGCGUUUGACGUAUUUGUAGGUAAAAAUUA
Patella vulgata (common limpet) is the source of this 704-nucleotide long non-coding RNA. RefSeq lists it as uncharacterized. The transcript is spliced from 2 exons. The record is from RefSeq and is a predicted model, not a curated record. Lineage: Eukaryota; Metazoa; Mollusca; Gastropoda; Patellidae.